This 253-nucleotide ribosomal RNA is filed under the name uncultured bacterium. Its description in RNAcentral is "partial 16S ribosomal RNA". It matches the Rfam family "Bacterial small subunit ribosomal RNA", at positions 524 to 776 of the family's 1533-position model. The record is from RNAcentral.
UACGGAGGGAGCUAGCGUUGUUCGGAAUUACUGGGCGUAAAGCGCGCGUAGGCGGUUACUUAAGUCGGAUGUGAAAGCCCUCGGCUUAACUGAGGAAGUGCACCCGAAACUGAGUAGCUGGAGUACGAAAGAGGGUCGCGGAAUUCCCGGUGUAGAGGUGAAAUUCGUAGAUAUCGGGAGGAACACCGGUGGCGAAGGCGGCGACCUGGGUCGAGACUGACGCUGAGGCGCGAAAGCGUGGGGAGCAAACAGG